Ipomoea nil (Japanese morning glory) is the source of this 156-nucleotide long non-coding RNA. RefSeq lists it as uncharacterized. The record is from RefSeq and is a predicted model, not a curated record. NCBI's taxonomy places the organism in Eukaryota, Viridiplantae, Streptophyta, Magnoliopsida, Solanales, Convolvulaceae. The transcript is spliced from 2 exons.
CCAGCCUGUUAUCCUUCCACUGCAGAGAGGAGGAGGUUAUCGCUGCUCUGUGAAGCCAGCCUCACGCGGUGCCCUCCGAUCUAAGGACAGUGAAGCCUCCGCCUUCGCAGAGACUCCGCCAUACAACUCACCAAUUGGAAUGGGCAGGCCAGUAGA